This 212-nucleotide long non-coding RNA is filed under the name Mytilus galloprovincialis (Mediterranean mussel). Lineage: Eukaryota; Metazoa; Mollusca; Bivalvia; Mytilida; Mytilidae. The record is from RNAcentral.
GCUAAACUCGUUUGAAGGCGCCAACCAUUAUUCCCCUUACCUGGAACAGUGCAACAUUAGAGCAAACUAUCAAAAUCAGUUAAUAAAAGUCUUAGCUAAUAAGAUGGCAACAAAUAGAAAUAAAUCUAGCAAAAAUACAGCGUGGACGUGGACUGGUACUUAUACAUCCAAACAACAAAAGCAUUUGUACAGAUCUGAGAGUUACUCAGUAC